GACGAACGCUGGCGGCGUGCCUAACACAUGCAAGUCGAGCGAGUGGAUCUCCUUCGGGAGUGAAGCUAGCGGCGGACGGGUGAGUAACACGUGGGCAACCUGCCUCAUAGAGGGAAUAGCCUUUCGAAAGGAAGAUUAAUACCGCAUAAGAUUGUAGCUUCGCAUGAAGUAGCAAUUAAAGGAGCAAUCCGCUAUGAGAUGGGCCCGCGGCGCAUUAGCUAGUUGGUGAGGUAACGGCUCACCAAGGCGACGAUGCGUAGCCGACCUGAGAGGGGGAUCGGCCACAUUGGGACUGAGACACGGCCCAGACUCCUACGGGAGGCAGCAGUGGGGAAUAUUGCACAAUGGGGGAAACCCUGAUGCAGCAACGCCGCGUGAGUGAUGACGGCCUUCGGGUUGUAAAGCUCUGUCUUCAGGGACGAUAAUGACGGUACCUGAGGAGGAAGCCACGGCUAACUACGUGCCAGCCGCCGCAGUAA
This 479-nucleotide ribosomal RNA is filed under the name uncultured bacterium. Its description in RNAcentral is "partial 16S ribosomal RNA". It matches the Rfam family "Bacterial small subunit ribosomal RNA", at positions 28 to 523 of the family's 1533-position model. The record is from RNAcentral.